This 253-nucleotide ribosomal RNA is filed under the name uncultured bacterium. RNAcentral describes it as "partial 16S ribosomal RNA". It matches the Rfam family "Bacterial small subunit ribosomal RNA", at positions 524 to 776 of the family's 1533-position model. The record is from RNAcentral.
UACGAACUGCGCGAACGUUAUUCGGAAUCACUGGGCUUACAGGGUGCGUAGGCGGCUUUUCAGGUCCGAUGUGAAAUCCCACGGCUCAACCGUGGAAUGGCAUUGGAAACCGGAAAGCUGGAGUGAGCUAGAGGUGCACGGAACUUCCGGUGGAGCGGUGAAAUGUGUUGAGAUCGGAAGGAACACCAGAGGCGAAAGCGGUGCACUGGGGCUUGUCUGACGCUGAGGCACGAAAGCCAGGGGAGCGAACGGG